RNAcentral lists this ribosomal RNA (439 nucleotides) under uncultured bacterium. RNAcentral describes it as "partial 16S ribosomal RNA". It matches the Rfam family "Bacterial small subunit ribosomal RNA", at positions 339 to 795 of the family's 1533-position model. The record is from RNAcentral.
CUACGGGUCGCAGCAGUGAGGAAUAUUGCGCAAUGGGCGAAAGCCUGACGCAGCAACGCCGCGUGGAUGAUGAAGGCCUUCGGGUUGUAAAAUCCUUUUUUGGGGAACGAUAAUGACGGUACCUCAAGAAUAAGUCCCGGCUAACUACGUGCCAGCAGCCGCGGUAAAACGUAGGGGGCGAGCGUUAUCCGGAUUUACUGGGCGUAAAGCGCACGUAGGCGGUGCCGUAAGUUGGAUGUGAAAGCUCCUGGCUUAACUGGGAGAGGUCGUUCAAAACUGCGGUGCUUGAGGAUAGAAGAGGAGAGUAGAAUUCCCGGUGUAGUGGUGGAAUGCGUAGAUAUCGGGAGGAAUACCAGUGGCGAAGGCGGCUCUCUGGUCUAUACCUGACGCUGAGGUGCGAAAGCGUGGGGAGCGAACGGGAUUAGAUACCCGCGUAGUC